This 229-nucleotide unclassified non-coding RNA is filed under the name Hevea brasiliensis (rubber tree). The record is from RNAcentral. Lineage: Eukaryota; Viridiplantae; Streptophyta; Magnoliopsida; Malpighiales; Euphorbiaceae.
GCAAUCCUUUCACAAAAAGCUGCUGGCAUCCUAGAGUUGCAGAACCAGUUAGCUCAUUUUCAAAGACGUCUAAAGGAGCACAAUGUACUUGUAUCUUCUGGCAACUGAAGCUCUAAUUCAGUAUGCAUACAAAUUUCAGAUGUUGUGCACAUUUGCUUUGGGGACGAGGUGUUGUUGUAGAUCCACUAAUGGACCCAUAGGUGUUGGUGUAGAAAAAACACGUGGCUUG